Molecule: ribosomal RNA, 855 nt
Filed under: uncultured marine group I thaumarchaeote
Lineage: Archaea; Thermoproteati; Nitrososphaerota
Description: SSU rRNA
Rfam family: Archaeal small subunit ribosomal RNA
Source: RNAcentral
CUGACUGCUAUCGGAUUGAUACUAAGCCAUGCGAGUCUUGCAGUAAUGCAAGGCAUACGGCUCAGUAACACGUAGUCAACCUACCCUAUGGACGAGAAUAAUCUCGGGAAACUGAGCAUAAUUCUUGAUAGAUCAUAAUGCCUGGAAUGGUUUAUGGUUAAAAUGAUUCGUCGCCAUAGGAUGGACUGCGGCCUAUCAGCUUGUUGGUGAGGUAAUGGCCCACCAAGGCGAUUACAGGUACGGGCUCUGAGAGGAGAAGCCCGGAGAUGGGUACUGAGACACGGACCCAGGCCCUAUGGGGCGCAGCAGGCGAGAAAACUUUGCAAUGUGCGAAAGCACGACAAGGUUAAUCCGAGUGAUUUCUGCUAAAGAAAUCUUUUGCCAGUCGUAAAACCGCUGGUGAAUAAGGGGUGGGCAAGUUCUGGUGUCAGCCGCCGCGGUAAAACCAGCACCUCAAGUGGUCAGGAUGAUUAUUGGGCCUAAAGCAUCCGUAGCCGGCUUUGUAAGUUUUCGGUUAAAUCCAUGUGCUCAACGCAUGGGCUGCCGAAAAUACUGCAUAGCUAGGGAGUGGGAGAGGUAGACGGUACUCAGUAGGUAGGGGUAAAAUCCUUUGAUCUAUUGAUGACCACCUGUGGCGAAGGCGGUCUACCAGAACACGUUCGACGGUGAGGGAUGAAAGCUGGGGGAGCAAACCGGAUUAGAUACCCGGGUAGUCCCAGCUGUAAACGAUGCAGACUAGAUGAUGCAUUGGCAUAAUAGCCAUUGCAGUGUCUCAGGGAAGCCGUUAAGUCUGCCGCCUGGGAAGUACGUACGCAAGUAUGAAACUUAAAGGAUUGGCGGGGAGCACCACAAGGG